CUACGGGCCGCAGCAGUGGGGAAUAUUGGACAAUGGGGGAAACCCUGAUCCAGCAAUGCCGCGUGUGUGAAGAAGGCCUGCGGGUUGUAAAGCACUUUCGGUUGGGAGGACUGCUUCUAGCACUAAUAUUGUUGGAAGUUGACGUUACCUUCAGAAGAAGCACCGGCUAACUCCGUGCCAGCAGCCGCGGUAAUACGGGGGUGCAAGCGGUAAUCGGAAUUACUGGGCGUCAAGCGCGCGUAGGCGGCUAGAUCAGUCGGGUGUGAAAGCCCCGGGCUGAACCUGGGAACUGCAUCCGAUACUGUCUAGCUUGAGUACAGGAGAAGAGAGUGGAAUUCCACAUGUAGCGGUGAAAUGCGUAGAUAUGUGGAGGAACACCAAUGGCGAAGGCAGCUCUCUGGCCUGAUACUGACGCUGAGGUGCGAAAGCGUGGGGAGCAAACAGGAUUAGAUACCCGAGUAGUC
Molecule: ribosomal RNA, 464 nt
Filed under: uncultured bacterium
Lineage: Bacteria
Description: partial 16S ribosomal RNA
Rfam family: Bacterial small subunit ribosomal RNA
Source: RNAcentral